Molecule: ribosomal RNA, 659 nt
Filed under: uncultured Pseudomonadota bacterium
Lineage: Bacteria; Pseudomonadati; Pseudomonadota
Description: bacterial SSU rRNA
Rfam family: Bacterial small subunit ribosomal RNA
Source: RNAcentral
GUAACAGGAAGCAGCUUGCUGCUUUGCUGACGAGUGGCGGACGGGUGAGUAAUGUCUGGGAAACUGCCUGAUGGAGGGGGAUAACUACUGGAAACGGUAGCUAAUACCGCAUAACGUCGCAAGACCAAAGAGGGGGACCUUCGGGCCUCUUGCCAUCGGAUGUGCCCAGAUGGGAUUAGCUAGUAGGUGGGGUAACGGCUCACCUAGGCGACGAUCCCUAGCUGGUCUGAGAGGAUGACCAGCCACACUGGGACUGAGACACGGUCCAGACUCCUACGGGAGGCAGCAGUGGGGAAUAUUGCACAAUGGGCGCAAGCCUGAUGCAGCCAUGCCGCGUGUAUGAAGAAGGCCUUCGGGUUGUAAAGUACUUUCAGCGGGGAGGAAGGUGCUGAGGUUAAUAACCUCAGCAAUUGACGUUACCCGCAGAAGAAGCACCGGCUAACUCCGUGCCAGCAGCCGCGGUAAUACGGAGGGUGCAAGCGUUAAUCGGAAUUACUGGGCGUAAAGCGCACGCAGGCGGUCUGUCAAGUCGGAUGUGAAAUCCCCGGGCUCAACCUGGGAACUGCAUUCGAAACUGGCAGGCUAGAGUCUUGUAGAGGGGGGUAGAAUUCCAGGUGUAGCGGUGAAAUGCGUAGAGAUCUGGAGGAAUACCGGUGGCG